UUCCUCUGCCGCAGCUGCGUGGUAGGACUGCGGGACCCUCGGCUACGACGGCUGAAUAAGCCUUUCAAAAGCUUCUGGCAACUGCGUACUGGGACACAGGCAGAUAGAGACACAUAGGCGAGAAGUGGAGGCUGCGGGUUCCCCCGGACCCAUCCGCCAGUGGAUCCCGCCCCGAGACCCACAAAGCCCCCGGAUGCCCCCACCACGGCCCCGGCUCCGAACAGCAGCGGCCCGUGAUUAGAGCUCCAAGUGACGGCGAGCGCGCUCGGGCAACCCAAACGACCCGCUAAAAGAGACAGGCUCCCAAACCGAACCUUGUUCUUCAACCACUCCGAUCUCACAGACGGAAGGGCAGAGUCGAGGAGAGCCUUCAACGCGGAAAGGCGAAAGAGGACAACUGUGGGAUUAUGCAUGAAAGGAGAACCAAGCUGGAGGGCAUGAUGGGAACUGCAGUCAUGACAUUGGAAUUUCCCAUGAGCCAUUUUGUUCCCCAAAGCAUGCUGGGAGCUGCAGUCCUGCUACAGACAGCAUGCCAACAGCACUGGCAGGGACUGGCACGGCACAGUGAGCUCUGGAAACACUGAAAGCCCCUGCCAUUAUCUUCUGUGACUGCAGGAGUGUGGCUAGAGCUCUUGACAGUGAAGACUGAGGUAAAGACCCAGGUACAAGUUAAUCUGUGUACACUGCGAAGGCAGAGGAAGAAGGUCUUCGGAAGAUGUUCAGUGAUACUAAUCCAGGAAAAGUUGGGCUGAGAUGAAGUACACAGUUGAUUCAGCAGGGUGUCUUUGGACAGAUGCAGUCAUACAGACAGGGUAGCACCUCUCUCUUUAGAAAUAGUUGCAGUCAUCUUCCUUGCGUAAGUAACGCAUCAUUAGAAAAAAGAAAACCUCUCUUGAAUUAACAAGGAAGGAAUAAACUUGCCUACAAAGAGGGGUAGAGGGAGUAUGGAUUAUCUGAAGAAUGUCACUGGCCUGAUCCAAAGCCUAUUUGUGAGGUUUUCCUACUGGCUCUGGCUGUUUUUUUUCCAAAGCAUUUACAUUACUUGCAAACAUGGGAAGUAUGACUGGGUGUUUUACUCUGCUAGUUUGAAGCUAGCUAGAAUGUUUUAGUGAGAAGGAUUAGAUCAUCACAGGCUGUGAAAGAGGAACAGUGGCGAUGUCUACUUCACUUAUAGGCUUGCUGAGAGGUAUAAGAGCAAGAAUCCAAACAUAGAUAGGGGAGUUGCUCUUCGUCCAGUCUCUGGGCUGCAUUUCUCUCUAACCUCACCCUCUGUCUCUCUGAUUAAUCCACUUGCUUCCUACCCACCCUGGCCGACCCUCCAUUCUUCCUUGGGGCACGAGGCAAUGUCUGGGGUAAGGUAGGGGAGUGGGAGAAGAUGGAAGGGUGUUUUUGAGCCCCUCCUGCGGACUCAGGUUUCUGGGAGGGGAGUUGUGUUUCUAUAUUGUCUUUUACCUUGUAUAUUUCUGUCUAUAACUGUGUAUACUGUGAAUAUCUGCUUGUAUAUUCUGCUAAGCUGUAAAUAUAAGCUUCAUUCAAAUUUC
Molecule: long non-coding RNA, 1541 nt
Organism: Pogoniulus pusillus (Red-fronted tinkerbird)
Lineage: Eukaryota; Metazoa; Chordata; Aves; Piciformes; Lybiidae
Exons: 5
Source: RefSeq, a predicted model, not a curated record